Molecule: ribosomal RNA, 468 nt
Filed under: uncultured bacterium
Lineage: Bacteria
Description: partial 16S ribosomal RNA
Rfam family: Bacterial small subunit ribosomal RNA
Source: RNAcentral
GACGAACGCUGGCGGCGUGCUUAACACAUGCAAGUCGAACGGAAAGGCCCUGCUUUUGUGGGGUGCUCGAGUGGCGAACGGGUGAGUAACACGUGAGUAACCUGCCCUUGACUUUGGGAUAACUUCAGGAAACUGGGGCUAAUACCGGAUAGUAGCUCCUGCUGCUUGUUGGGGGUUGGAAAUUUUCGGCGGUUGGGGAUGGACUCGCGGCUUAUGAGCUUGUUGGUGUGGUAGUGGCUUACCAAGGCUUUGACGGGUAGCCGGCCUGAGAGGGUGACCGGCCACAUUGGGACUGAGAUACGGCCCAGACUCCUACGGGAGGCAGCAGUGGGGAAUAUUGCACAAUGGGCGGAAGCCUGAUGCAGCAACGCCGCGUGCGGGAUGACGGCCUUCGGGUUGUAAACCGCUUUCGCCUGUGACGAAGCGUGAGUGACGGUAAUGGGUAAAGAAGCACCGGCUAACUACGUG